Molecule: unclassified non-coding RNA, 250 nt
Filed under: Hevea brasiliensis (rubber tree)
Lineage: Eukaryota; Viridiplantae; Streptophyta; Magnoliopsida; Malpighiales; Euphorbiaceae
Source: RNAcentral
AAUCGAAUUGAUCUCCUGUGUGAGGUGUUCACUAAAUUCAUGAUCUCGUGAAAUUACUUUUACUUUUUGUAGUUAUGUAAGCAAUGCCAUAUAUAAUUUUUCAUUUCCAUCUAAAGAGGAACAUAUAUAUUCUUAACUCUUGUACAUAGCAUUCCCAUAUUGUCAUUGUUAUUUACACAGUCUUAUAUAUUAGAUUUGUACAAAAAUGACUUUAAUCACUAAUUACAGAUGGGUGGGGCAUCAUUAUUUG